UACGGAGGUUGCAAGCGUUAUCCGGAUUUAUUGGGUUUAAAGGGUGCGUAGGCGGGAAUUUAAGUCAGUGGUGAAAGACUGUCGCUUAACGAUAGCAUUGCCAUUGAUACUGAAUUUCUUGAGUACAUUUGAGGUGGGCGGAAUAAGUAGUGUAGCGGUGAAAUGCUUAGAUAUUACUUAGAACACCAAUUGCGAAGGCAGCUCACUAAACUGUAACUGACGCUGAGGCACGAAAGCGUGGGGAUCAAACAGG
This 253-nucleotide ribosomal RNA is filed under the name uncultured bacterium. RNAcentral describes it as "partial 16S ribosomal RNA". It matches the Rfam family "Bacterial small subunit ribosomal RNA", at positions 524 to 776 of the family's 1533-position model. The record is from RNAcentral.